GUGCUGCCGAGCGAGGAGCGCACGCGCUCGGUGUCUCCAUCUGCUGGUUGUGUGGUCUGUAUUUUACGGCUGGAUUAAAACAUAAGUGACAUCUAGAGGACAGGAAGUUAAAAACCAUCUGCAUCAUUUUUAAAUACCGUACCUGCAUGUUCCAUAUAAAGAAUUGAUGUUGCUGAGACAUUUCUGAGUUGGUUUUAAGCUCCAUCAUCAACAUAAUAAAUGACUAUUUCUUUUGUAACCAUAAGCACCAUAGCUCUGAAUGGGCAAGACAGAUGGUGUCACUAUUAAACUACCAAAACCUAAGAAAACAGAUGCAAUAUAGAGUACUUUACACUACAUAGGACAAAAGAGUGAAAGCGGAAGUAAAUGAAAACUGCUACAAAGCCAUGAAAUCAAGGAAGCUGCCAACAAAAGAUCAUUUAAGAAAGAAAAAAAUGAUAUACCCAAAGGAUUAUAAAUCAUUCUAAA
Molecule: long non-coding RNA, 468 nt
Organism: Cercocebus atys (sooty mangabey)
Lineage: Eukaryota; Metazoa; Chordata; Mammalia; Primates; Cercopithecidae
Exons: 3
Source: RefSeq, a predicted model, not a curated record